Molecule: long non-coding RNA, 310 nt
Filed under: Elaeis guineensis (African oil palm)
Lineage: Eukaryota; Viridiplantae; Streptophyta; Magnoliopsida; Arecales; Arecaceae
Description: long non-coding RNA (EGUI_LNC025294)
Source: RNAcentral
UCUCCCCCCUUUUUUUCGUUUAAGUGAAGGCCGAAAGCCGAGCAUGAUCUGUGCCUCUUGGUAAGAUCUCAGCCAUUGGAUUAAUGGCCACCGUCCCUCCAACCGUGACAACAUAUUGACCCAUUUUAUUUUAUUUUAUUUAGAGACAAUAAUGGCAGACGUGAGACACGUGAGUACAUGUUAUCUUUAUUUGAGAAACGUGAGUACAUGUUAUCAGAGAUAAAGUAAUGCACACCUUUUUUUUUUUUUUCCUAUACAAAAUCAUCAUGCGAGUCCUUGGCCGUCUGAUUGCACAUAGUUGAUCAGUACU